UUUCCGGAAAGGAAGAAACUGGCCCGGGGGGAGCUACAACCAUACAGGAAUGCUGGUGAAUCUCCAGAAUGCUGGUACGAAGAUUUUGAAAACUUAACAGAUACACCCAAAGAAGUUGAAUCGACAGGCAAUUUGGAUUGCCUUUACUUAAACGGAAGCAAUUACCAUGGCAAUAUAUCAGUGACAGCCUCCGGUGUUCCGUGUCAGUCAUGGACGGA
This is a long non-coding RNA of Dendronephthya gigantea, 218 nucleotides long. RefSeq lists it as uncharacterized. The transcript is spliced from 3 exons. The record is from RefSeq and is a predicted model, not a curated record. Lineage: Eukaryota; Metazoa; Cnidaria; Anthozoa; Malacalcyonacea; Nephtheidae.